This 497-nucleotide ribosomal RNA is filed under the name uncultured bacterium. RNAcentral describes it as "partial 16S ribosomal RNA". It matches the Rfam family "Bacterial small subunit ribosomal RNA", at positions 28 to 507 of the family's 1533-position model. The record is from RNAcentral.
GAUGAACGCUGGCGGCGUGCCUAAUACAUGCAAGUCGAGCGAACAGACGAGAAGCUUGCUUUUCUGAUGUUAGCGGCGGACGGGUGAGUAACACGUGGAUAACCUACCUAUAAGACUGGGAUAACUUCGGGAAACCGGAGCUAAUACCGGAUAAUAUUUUGAACCGCAUGGUUCAAAAGUGAAAGACGGUCUUGCUGUCACUUAUAGAUGGAUCCGCGCUGCAUUAGCUAGUUGGUAAGGUAACGGCUUACCAAGGCAACGAUGCAUAGCCGACCUGAGAGGGUGAUCGGCCACACUGGAACUGAGACACGGUCCAGACUCCUACGGGAGGCAGCAGUAGGGAAUCUUCCGCAAUGGGCGAAAGCCUGACGGAGCAACGCCGCGUGAGUGAUGAAGGUCUUCGGAUCGUAAAACUCUGCUAUUAGGGAAGAACAUAUGUGUAAGUAACUGUGCACAUCUUGACGGUACCUAAUCAGAAAGCCACGGCUAACUACGUG